Molecule: ribosomal RNA, 504 nt
Filed under: Escherichia coli
Lineage: Bacteria; Pseudomonadati; Pseudomonadota; Gammaproteobacteria; Enterobacterales; Enterobacteriaceae
Description: bacterial SSU rRNA
Rfam family: Bacterial small subunit ribosomal RNA
Source: RNAcentral
GUGAGACAGGUGCUGCAUGGCUGUCGUCAGCUCGUGUUGUGAAAUGUUGGGUUAAGUCCCGCAACGAGCGCAACCCUUAUCCUUUGUUGCCAGCGGUCCGGCCGGGAACUCAAAGGAGACUGCCAGUGAUAAACUGGAGGAAGGUGGGGAUGACGUCAAGUCAUCAUGGCCCUUACGACCAGGGCUACACACGUGCUACAAUGGCGCAUACAAAGAGAAGCGACCUCGCGAGAGCAAGCGGACCUCAUAAAGUGCGUCGUAGUCCGGAUUGGAGUCUGCAACUCGGCUCCAUGAAGUCGGAAUCGCUAGUAAUCGUGGAUCAGAAUGCCACGGUGAAUACGUUCCCGGGCCUUGUACACACCGCCCGUCACACCAUGGGAGUGGGUUGCAAAAGAAGUAGGUAGCUUAACCUUCGGGAGGGCGCUUACCACUUUGUGAUUCAUGACUGGGGUGAAGUCGUAACAAGGUAACCGUAGGGGAACCUGCGGUUGGAUCACCUCCUUA